Molecule: long non-coding RNA, 551 nt
Organism: Pollicipes pollicipes
Lineage: Eukaryota; Metazoa; Arthropoda; Thecostraca; Pollicipedomorpha; Pollicipedidae
Exons: 2
Source: RefSeq, a predicted model, not a curated record
GGUGUCGGCGCCGGCCGACAACAACGCCAACAGUACCGGCACGGACUCGGACGACAGCGGAGAGGAGAGGUCGCCCAGCCCCGCCUCCGGUGUCGAGCCGAACGAGAACAAAACCAAGCGGCGGCGGCGGAAGCGAUAGGCGGCCGCCGCGAGCCCGCGCGCGCGUGUGUGUUUUAUCAGAGCGACAUGUUAACGCGUUCCUUUAAUCCGGACUUGUGCCGCGGCGGCGGGCGGCUCCGUUGUACUAACAGUCGGCCGCGCUCUCCUGCGGCCGCGCGGCGCGCUCAUCUCAUAAUGCAUCGGCCUGCCGGGGCGCGGGCGGGUGCGGCGCCGCGGCGGCCGCCGGAGCGGGCUGCGCGAGCGGUGGUGGUAGGGGCCCGUCUCUGCUGUGUGCGCUUUUAUCUUGGCCGCGUGUGGGAGAGUGCGCCUUGAAGGCCUGGUCGUUGGACGAAGUCAGGACGCGUGUGGGAGUGCGCGUGUGCGUGUGGCUGAGUGGCGUUUGUAACACGGGACCAGACGAACAAUCUUCCAAAUAUAUACCAUUGCUUGGU